GAUGAACGCUGGCGGCGUGCCUAAUACAUGCAAGUAGAACGCUGAAGGAGGAGCUUGCUCUUCUGGAUGAGUUGCGAACGGGUGAGUAACGCGUAGGUAACCUGCCUGGUAGCGGGGGAUAACUAUUGGAAACGAUAGCUAAUACCGCAUAACAGUAGAUAUUGCAUGAUGUCUGCUUGAAAGGUGCAAAUGCAUCACUACCAGAUGGACCUGCGUUGUAUUAGCUAGUUGGUGAGGUAACGGCUCACCAAGGCGACGAUACAUAGCCGACCUGAGAGGGUGAUCGGCCACACUGGGACUGAGACACGGCCCAGACUCCUACGGGAGGCAGCAGUAGGGAAUCUUCGGCAAUGGACGGAAGUCUGACCGAGCAACGCCGCGUGAGUGAAGAAGGUUUUCGGAUCGUAAAGCUCUGUUGUAAGAGAAGAACGAGUGUGAGAGUGGAAAGUUCACACUGUGACGGUAUCUUACCAGAAAGGGACGGCUAACUACGUGCCAGCAGCCGCGGUAAUACGUAGGUCCCGAGCGUUGUCCGGAUUUAUUGGGCGUAAAGCGAGCGCAGGCGGUUAGAUAAGUCUGAAGUUAAAGGCUGUGGCUUAACCAUAGUACGCUUUGGGAAACUGUUUAACUUGAGUGCAAGAGGGGAGAGUGGAAUUCCAUGUGUAGCGGUGAUAUGCGUAGAUAUAUGGAGGAACACCGGUGGCGAAAGCUGCUCUCUGGCUUGUAACUGACGCUGAGGCUCGAAAGCGUGGGGAGCAAACAGG
This 764-nucleotide ribosomal RNA is filed under the name uncultured Streptococcus sp. Its description in RNAcentral is "bacterial SSU rRNA". It matches the Rfam family "Bacterial small subunit ribosomal RNA", at positions 28 to 776 of the family's 1533-position model. The record is from RNAcentral. Lineage: Bacteria; Bacillati; Bacillota; Bacilli; Lactobacillales; Streptococcaceae.